RNAcentral lists this ribosomal RNA (301 nucleotides) under uncultured bacterium. RNAcentral's name for it is "partial 16S ribosomal RNA". It matches the Rfam family "Bacterial small subunit ribosomal RNA", at positions 510 to 808 of the family's 1533-position model. The record is from RNAcentral.
CGCAGCCGCGGUAAUACGGAGGGUGCAAGCGUUAAUCGGAAUUACUGGGCGUAAAGCGCACGUAGGCUGCUUUGUAAGUUAGAGGUGAAAGCCUGGAGCUCAACUCCAGAAUUGCCUUUAAGACUGCAUCGCUUGAAUCCAGGAGAGGUGAGUGGAAUUCCGAGUGUAGAGGUGAAAUUCGUAGAUAUUCGGAAGAACACCAGUGGCGAAGGCGGCUCACUGGACUGGUAUUGACGCUGAGGUGCGAAAGCGUUGGGAGCAAACAGGAUUAGAUACCCCAGUAGUCCCUGUCUCUUAUACA